This is a long non-coding RNA of Chenopodium quinoa (quinoa), 803 nucleotides long. RefSeq lists it as uncharacterized. The record is from RefSeq and is a predicted model, not a curated record. The transcript has 3 exons. NCBI's taxonomy places the organism in Eukaryota, Viridiplantae, Streptophyta, Magnoliopsida, Caryophyllales, Amaranthaceae.
UGGAUUGAGAUCAUGUGAGAACCAUGUCGAAUAAUAGGAAUUAAGAACUGAUCUCAGUCGUCCAUCACGCAUCAUCUAACGGUUGUCAUCUUACCCGCUUCAUUAAGGGUAAAAUGGUAAUUAUAGGAUUUGAAUGAAUACCCUAAAAUUUUCCCUGCUUCUCUUUUCACUUUAUCUAUCUUCAUUUCGUUUUCUCUCUCCUCCUGCAAAUUCUCUCUCUUGUGAUUGUCCUGAUCUUCGCACAUCCUCACUUCUCAAAUUCCCAAUUUCUCAUCUUUGCUCAUUACUCUAGCAAAUUUAUGGGGUGCUAUAUGGGACUAUCGGUUAGAUUGUCAUAUUGAUGGCUUUAUUGUUGUUGUUGCACACACUCAUGUCACUCAAGAUUUCAAAAAGGACUUGUAACUAGCAGAAUAUCUGAUGUUCUGCUUGCAACCAACACUACUGCUGAAGUUACUUUGAGGCUUGUGAUGCUUGGGAAGAAGUUGUCAGGUACUGGUGAUGAGGUGUGGGGGCUUUUUUUUGACUGAGUUGCUGUUACUGAACCAGGGAAGAAGAAGAUGAAGCUGCAACUAACUUAGUACUGUAGAUUUUUAUGUCUGGAAUUUAGCCAGAACAUUCAUUUUGGGACUGAUUUUUCUGUCUGGAAUGAAGGACAACUAUUUUGUAAAGAAUAUUUGUGAACUGUUAUUCUGGUAGCUUUAAAUACCCCCUUUUUGAAUGAAAAAUUUAAAGGGGGGAGGAAAAUUUGAAUGGGUUUUGUAAAUUUGGAUUUGGUGGGAAAAAAAAAUUUCGAUGCUUUUUAA